This is a long non-coding RNA of Ictalurus punctatus (channel catfish), 1506 nucleotides long. The record is from Ensembl. Lineage: Eukaryota; Metazoa; Chordata; Actinopteri; Siluriformes; Ictaluridae.
GAUGGAUGGAUAGUUAUUAACCUGUUUGAUUGGUGAUUUGAAUGAAAUGAGUUUAGAGAUCCCAUGAGAUCCCAUUUACCUCCUCGUCUUACUUCCACGCUUGUGGUGUGACAAUUUCCGCUUCAGCUUCUCCCUCAUGCAUGUUGAGCUGUUGUGUUUCAUGUUCAUUUCUUUGCAUACGUUACACUGAACAUCACAGUUUCUCCGAAUCUGGUUUCAGCGGCCGUCUUAAAUUUUGUAUGCAUUUGGAUGUAGCGACUUAUCCGUAGUAAAGUAUGAAACUUGAGAAGGAUUUUUCUGGGUAACACACUGUGUUAAUGAGGUAGAACACACAGCCCGUGAGGUAACGCAAACUGUUUAAUCUUAAUGUUAAAGGUUAUUUUACUGCUUUCAAAUGACUUUAAUUAUUGAAUUUGUUGAACCUGUUGAUUACAGGCCUGAUGUUACUGUUAAUGUAUUUUGUGUUAGUGUAUAUUAGUGCAGGUGCAUUAGUGAUAGACAGACAGACAGACUUUAUUGAUCCCUCAAGGGAAUUUAUAUGUAUUUAUUGUUUCUUUUUAGACAGAUAGUCACUGCAAGUGUUUUAGUUCCAUUCUGUUAGUGUGUGUUAAUGCAGGUGUAUUAGUGUGUGUUAAUGCUGGUGUAUUAGUGUGUGUUAAUGCAGGUGUGUUAAUGCAGGUGUGUUAGUGUGUGUUAAUGCAGGUGUGUUAGUGUGUGUUAACGCAGGUGUGUUAGUGUGUGUUAAUGCAGGUGUAUCAUUGUGUGUUAAUGCGGGUGUGUUAGUGUGUGUUAAUGCAGGUGUGUUAGUGUGUGUUAAUGCAGGUGUAUUAGUGUGUGUUAAUGCAGGUGUAUUAUUGUGUGUUAAUGCAGGUGUGUUAGUGUGUGUUAAUGCAGGUGUGUUAGUGUGUGUUAAUGCAGGAGUAUUAGUGUGUGUUAAUGCAGGUGUAUUAGUGUGUGUUAAUGCAGGUGUGUUAAUGCAGGUGUGUUAAUGCAGGUGUGUUAGUGUGUGUUAAUGCAGGUGUGUUAGUGUGUGUUAAUGCAGGUGUGUUAGUGUGUGUUAACGCAGGUGUGUUAGUGUGUGUUAAUGCAGGUGUAUUAGUGUGUGUGUUAAAGCAGGUGUAUUAUUGUGUGUUAAUGCAGGUGUAUUAUUGUGUGUUAAUGCAGGUGUGUUAGUGUGUGUUAAUGCAGGUGUGUUAGUGUGUGUUAAUGCAGGUGUAUUAUUGUGUGUUAAUGCGGGUGUGUUAGUGUGUGUUAAUGCAGGUGUAUUAUUGUGUGUUAAUGCGGGUGUGUUAGUGUGUGUUAAUGCAGGUGUGUUAGUGUGUUAAUGCAGGUGUAUUAGUGUGUGUUAAUGCAGGUGUAUUAGUGUGUGUUAAUGCAGGUGUGUUAGUGUGUGUUAAUGCAGGUGUAUUAUUGUGUGUUAAUGCAGGUGUAUUAUUGUGUGUUAAUGCAGGUGUGUUAGUGUGUGUUAAUGCAGGUGUGUUAGUGUGUGUUAAUGCAGGUGUGUUA